UCCCUGAUAGCUUAGUUGGUAAAGAAUCUGCCUGCAAUGCAGGAGACCCCGGUUCACUUCCUGGAUUGGGAA
This 72-nucleotide transfer RNA is filed under the name Bos grunniens (domestic yak). It matches the Rfam family "tRNA". Rfam says of the family: Transfer RNA (tRNA) molecules are approximately 80 nucleotides in length. Their secondary structure includes four short double-helical elements and three loops (D, anti-codon, and T loops). Further hydrogen bonds mediate the characteristic L-shaped molecular structure. tRNAs have two regions of fundamental functional importance: the anti-codon, which is responsible for specific mRNA codon recognition, and the 3' end, to which the tRNAs corresponding amino acid is attached (by aminoacyl-tRNA synthetases). tRNAs cope with the degeneracy of the genetic code in two manners: having more than one tRNA (with a specific anti-codon) for a particular amino acid; and 'wobble' base-pairing, i.e. permitting non-standard base-pairing at the 3rd anti-codon position. Lineage: Eukaryota; Metazoa; Chordata; Mammalia; Artiodactyla; Bovidae. RNAcentral also lists the same sequence under 2 other names. The record is from Rfam by way of RNAcentral.